CUUCAUCCUCGUGUAAAAACUUUACAUCCUAAUGUUCAUGGAGGUAUUCUUGCAAGAAGAGAUCAAGAGUCUCACAUGGAAGCCUUGAAUAACCUUGGAAUUGGUACAUUUGAUGUGGUAGUUGUGAACUUAUAUCCCUUCUAUAACAAGGUUUCCGCUUCUACUGGGAUUUCUUUUGAAGAUGGAAUUGAGAACAUAUUGGUGGACCUGCCAUGAUAAGAGCAGCCGCCAAGAAUCAUCAGGAUGUUUUGGUUGUAGUUGACUCCAGUGAUUACCCCGAACUCCUAGAGUAUCUCAAAGAGGAAGGAACGACGAGCAAUUUCGAAGAAGGCUAGCCUGGAAGGCUUUUCAGCAUGUCGCUUCUUAUGAUUCUGCUGUUUCAGAAUGGUUGUGGAAGCAGACUGAGGGAGAUAAAUUUCCUCCCAGUCUGACUGUACCUUUGUCCCUCAAGAGUUCGCUUCGGUAUGGUGAAAACCCUCAUCAGAAGGCGGCAUUUUAUGUUGAUAAGUCCCUUGCAGAAGUCAAUGCUGGUGGCAUCGCAACUUCUGUUCAACACCAUG
This is a long non-coding RNA of Salvia miltiorrhiza (redroot sage), 560 nucleotides long. RefSeq lists it as uncharacterized. The transcript has 4 exons. The record is from RefSeq and is a predicted model, not a curated record. NCBI's taxonomy places the organism in Eukaryota, Viridiplantae, Streptophyta, Magnoliopsida, Lamiales, Lamiaceae.